UUAACGUCAUUAAGUUAAGUACACCCUGCUCAAUGAAUAUUAAAUAGCUGCAGAAUUUUAACUGUACUAAGGUAGCAUAAUAAUUUGCCUUUUAAUUGAAGGCUAGAAUAAAAGGGAUUACGAAAUUUUAUCUGUCUCUUUUUUUUUCCUUGAAAUUACUUCUAUAAUAAAAAUUAUUAUAAUAAAUAAGAAAGACGACAAGACCCUAUCGAACUUCACUAAAGUUUAGCUGGGGCGGCAAUUUAUUGAAACAUAUCUUCUUUAAUUAUUUAAUAUUAAACAAACAAGUUACCGUAGGGAUAACAGCAAUAUUUAUAUUUAGAGAUCUUAUCAAAAUUUAAGUUUUUGACCUCGAUGUUGAAUUAGAAUGUUUCUUAUAAAAGCAAAAUUUUACAAAGUAAGUCUGUUCGACUUUUAAAAUUCU
Molecule: ribosomal RNA, 424 nt
Filed under: Antrodiaetus pacificus
Lineage: Eukaryota; Metazoa; Arthropoda; Arachnida; Araneae; Antrodiaetidae
Description: partial 16S ribosomal RNA
Rfam family: Archaeal large subunit ribosomal RNA
Source: RNAcentral